UACGGAGGGGGCUAGCGUUGUUCGGAAUUACUGGGCGUAAAGCGCACGUAGGCGGAUAUUUAAGUCAGGGGUGAAAUCCCGGGGCUCAACCCCGGAACUGCCUUUGAUACUGGGUAUCUGGAGGUCGAGAGAGGCGAGUGGAAUUCCGAGUGUAGAGGUGAAAUGCGCAGAUAUCAGGAAGAACACCCGUGGCGAAGGCGGCUCUCUGGGACGGUACUGACGCUGAGACGCGAAAGCGUGGGGAGCGAACAGG
RNAcentral lists this ribosomal RNA (253 nucleotides) under uncultured bacterium. RNAcentral's name for it is "partial 16S ribosomal RNA". It matches the Rfam family "Bacterial small subunit ribosomal RNA", at positions 524 to 776 of the family's 1533-position model. The record is from RNAcentral.